CGGUGCCAGAUACAGAAAUAAAUUACGAGUGCAUUAUGAGUUCUAAUUACACAUAUAUAACUGAGGCUAGAAGUGGCUGCAAAAUUCAAAAUAUCAAGAUCCAAAAAGGGUCACUUCUAUCAUUAUGCUAUUGGACUCAUUAGAGUACGAGAACAAUCAUACACUCAAGGUUUGCAGAUCCACGGAAUCUUCAUACAAGGGGUAGGUCAUCAGAUGGUUCCUCAUUAUCUUCUUCAUCUAGGAGGU
RNAcentral lists this long non-coding RNA (246 nucleotides) under Carica papaya (papaya). RNAcentral describes it as "long non-coding RNA (CPAP_LNC005465)". The record is from RNAcentral. Lineage: Eukaryota; Viridiplantae; Streptophyta; Magnoliopsida; Brassicales; Caricaceae.